Molecule: long non-coding RNA, 338 nt
Filed under: Hordeum vulgare
Lineage: Eukaryota; Viridiplantae; Streptophyta; Magnoliopsida; Poales; Poaceae
Description: long non-coding RNA (HVUL_LNC006364)
Source: RNAcentral
GUCUAUAUUCUUUGCAGGGUACUCCAUCUUAUGAACAGUUUAUGUAUGGGGAUGCUGACUCCAAGUUCGCUCCAUCAGUAAAAGGAGUUGCAGCCACUGCUCAUAUAGCAUGUUACUAUGUUACAUUUUAAACUCCCCCCAUAGAACUGAUAGUUGUAGUUACAUUUGCUAAAAUCUGAAGCAUGUGGCCUUUUGUAAUAUGCAUCUUUUUUUGUUCCUAUUUUUUAUUUGUUGGAGGACAACAUGUAUGUACUCAUAUUUUUGGUUCAUCUUUUUUUUUUAUGUAUUAAUCGUUUGCAUGGCACAUGAUGCCUAAUAAUAAGAAAAGAGAUGUGUAU